UGCAACAUCACUUGGCCAUAAAUGAAUUGUUCCAUGACGGGUUGAUUUUGUUUUUGUUUUCAGGCCCAGCUGCAGCAAGGUGGGAUCCCCUCGGUUAGUGAGCCAGAGUCUGAGUCAAUUAAGACGGGGCCAACAUGGGUUCUCAGUUGGACAAGACCCAUCAGCUGAGCACUGGUAGCCUGCGGGAGGUGAGGAGGGAAAUGGAGUCCAGCAACAUGAUGAGCGAAUCGCUUGACAAGAUCUUCCAGUGUGCGGAGGAGCAUUUCGCCAAGGAGCCCGACUGCGUGAAGAACAACGCCAAGAUGACGCUCCACUGGAACUGGAAAUCGCUGGUGUUUGUGUCCGGCCGAGGAGGAGGAUAUCAGCUGGCCUGAGGGUCCUGAGCCUCGCAAACCUGGAAGGAGCCCGGAGGAGCCUGGAUUUAUGGGAGGAGACACCCAAGAGUCUGAAAACCUGCUUUGACUGCGCCAUCUGGGGCUUCCGGAAGGAGCCCGCGUGUGUGCAGGAGAACGCGAAGCUGGUGAUCCAUUGCAGCAGGAGAAAUCUGCCGUUCAUCUCUGGGAAGGGCGAAUGUGAGAUCAGCGUGUCCUACAGUGAUGGGAAACCGGUCUACACCGUCAAGGAGCCCACAGGGGAGGUUUACCUGGCACGACUCGGCACCCGCCCUGCACCUCUGAGCGUCUCGAGUGUAGUGAGGGCUCGCAACACGUUGGAGUCCUUUGGGGGAUGACGCAGGAGCUGAGGGGCUGCUUUGAAUAUGCUCUGGAAGCGUUGGAGGAGGCAACUAAGCGUGUUCAGGAGAAUGCGCUGAUGUUGCUCGAUACCACCAGAGGCAGGAUGAUGUUCAAGUCUGGGAAAGGGGAGAUUACAAUCACCGUCUUCUCCAUGAACGGGGAAUUCACGCAUGACGUCAAAAUGCCCAAAACCAACCGCCCGCCGAGAAAGUGAGGAGGAAAAGAAAAGAAAAUUGGAAUUUGCCAAGAGGCUUUGCCCUUCAGAGCAGGAUUCAACCUGAGAGUAUCUUAGCUGGAUCUAGUGUCGCCAACUUUCUCCAUUUCAUCGCCAUAUUUUGUGUUAUGCUCAAAGCCCCCAGCUCCAAGAGUCAAGGGAUUUCCUGAGAAUCUCAGCUUUCAUUUUUUUAAAAAUGGAGGUUGCGUGGAAAAGCCAGAAAAGUGACACUGAAAAUUGCAAAACCAGGCAGUAAAUGAGCUGGAUGAAACGUGUUGUUGUUGUUGUUGUUUAAAAAUCUCACCAUUUUUAAGCCAGUCUCAUGCUUUCUGGGUCCUGAUUCGUGAUUUUUGAUCACUUGGGCUUGGCAAGACUGGGACUAAAGGAGAAACCAACACUUUUCCAAGGAUUCCUUCACAUCCUCCAGCUCCACGUGUAGAGAUGGUUGAAGUUUUUUAUAGAGAAACUUUUUUUCUAACCUCGACAAAUAUUUUUUUCACAGAAUCCAAAAGAUUUUUCCCAAAACUUUUAUUUUUGAGGAAUUUGUAGGAAAUUAAUUGUACAUGAACUUAAAAACACACACAAACACACUUUCUUUCAGUUUUCAUUUUCCAUUUGUUUUUGGUCACCAUAGUGUGAUGCAGUGCAGAAUGAAAUUGUGACCUCUACAUCUAAAACAGGACAGGUCUACAUUAGCUCCAUGAUUCGGGUUGGUCCAAGAUUUUGUUUUGUUUUUUCAGUCACCUUUGCCUGAAAACCAAAAAUGAAUUUUGAGAUUGACACAUUUUCAGUUGUUAAAAUGAGUUACCCAUUAUUCAAGUAGAAGAAAGAGGUGUGUUAUUCACUCAUGUUGAACGAACCCAAGUUAAUUACCUUCUGUUACGAGCUUUCACUGGAAAAAAGUGUGUUUUUACACCCGAAUAGCAAUUUUAAUGUAAACUCUUUGGGUAUGUCUAGACNCCCCGCCAUAUUGGCGGGUAGUGAUCGAUUUCUCGGGGAUCGAUAUAUCGCGUCUCAUCUAGAUGUGAUAUAUCUAUCCCCGAACUAGCUCCCGUCGACUCUGGAAUUCCACCAACCCAAAUGGCAGUAGCGAAGUCGACAGGGGGAGCCGCGGACGUCGAUCCCGCACCGUGAGGACGAGAGGUAAAUCGAUCUAAGAUACUUUGACUUCAGCUACGCUAUUCACGUAGCUGAAGUUGCGUAUCUUAGAUCGAUCCCCCCCAGUGUAGACCAGCCCCUAGUGAUGUCAAAGGUGAUAGUUUUUACCUUGCCAUAAGAAGUUUAGGUGAACCAACAUCCCCGCGUAGUGAUGCAUAGACAGAUGGAGCUGGUUGGACAGACAGACAGAGCUGCAGCUGGAUGUUUUAACUAGCUGAUUACUGAGCACAUUCUUCAAGAUCAGCUUUAAGAUUCUUUUAACAUCCCAUCUUAAUGAGGCAAAGACAGCUUUUAGGGUGGAGCAUAACAUGAAACAUCCAAGCCGCUGGAUGCUUCUUAAUGACUCAUGUUAGGAAAACACAAUUAAGCCCUGUUAAAAUCUUUGAGAGAAUUGCUUGCAGCUUUGACUCUAUGCACCCAUUUACCUAUUACUGAAAUCCUUGUACUGGCAUGUGUACGUAUAUUUACACCCACUUAGCUUUGAAAUAGAUUAUCUGCUGAAUAUUGUCACACUCUGCUUGGUUUGCAGGAGGCUAAGAGGAAAUUAAAAAUGUGUGGAUGUUUUGAAAACAUUAUCUUACCUAGCUGCCUAUGCAACUGCACCAUGGUUUAUAUGACUUUGAAACAAUGACGUGUGCUGAUGAUGGGAGAAUUUUAACAAUAAAAUUGUCCUACAAAUAUGAUACCA
RNAcentral lists this long non-coding RNA (2794 nucleotides) under Gopherus agassizii (Agassiz's desert tortoise). RNAcentral describes it as "lncRNA (ENSGAGG00000004172.1)". Lineage: Eukaryota; Metazoa; Chordata; Testudines; Testudinidae. The record is from RNAcentral.